RNAcentral lists this unclassified non-coding RNA (3330 nucleotides) under Owenia fusiformis. RNAcentral's name for it is "misc RNA OFUS_LOCUS788". Lineage: Eukaryota; Metazoa; Annelida; Polychaeta; Sabellida; Oweniidae. The record is from RNAcentral.
AUGGCGCAAGUUUCCUGAUGUUUUCUUGGGCAGUCAAGCUGACUGGAGUGGACGCAGUCUUUUUUAUUUGUUCUGCAGACUGAAAAGAAUGAAUUUGGUAAACCCAGCCUGCAACGAAGAACAUGAUGCUGGCAUAGAUAAAGCACAACAUCAGUACCACGAGGCCCCUGAUUAACGGCAUCAUAUUGUUGAUAGUACCUUUGUUCCAGAAGAUGCUGAUCCUGAGCAAUGUGUUCAUCUAAAGAAAUGCCAACAUUGCAGAUAAGAAAAAAGAGUUCUCAGUGCAAGUUGCUGUAAUUCAGGGAUGUGUUCUCACAUAAAGAGAUGAAAUGAAUGAAAAUAACAGAUCAGAGGUGUUGAAGUUAGAUAACAGCACUAAGAGACAAUAAAGAACAAUCCAUGAUGGAUGGGACAGCAUUUUUUCUGCAUGUCAAAUGGACACAUCUUAUUUGGAAUAAUCAAUGGUCUCGCUGAUGUACAUACAGUCAGACAGUUGGGUUACUGAAACCAUGUAUCAUUUAGUCACUGGGGAAUAUAUAAAUCACUCAGGAAAUGAAUACAUGUGAAAAUUUCUAUAUUGGAUAAUUAUACACCUAAAUCCUAGAAUGCAAAUGAAAUAUUCAUAUAGGCUGGACAUGUAGCUGGUUGCAAAGGAUUAUAUCAAGGAAAUGGUGCCAAUUGAAGGAGGAAAAUCAAAUAUAUUGUUGAGAUAUGAACAUGUACACAAAUAUAACGUUACCAGUUGAAAAUGUUUCCGUAGUAUCUGGACCACCUGAUGUGUAUCUUCCACAUGCUGAACCUACGCUGGAUUGGCCGCAAGCCUUCCAAAUAUGGCAUUGGGCAUGGCCGUUACAUAUGUACCUGCUGGGGUCAUGGUUCUCUGGCUUAGUAAUAUACACUUGCGUAUCACUUCUGAACCUUCGUAAGAAAAUUCGCAGCAAUAGAUAUCUCAUUCUCAUCGAUAUAUUCGUCCUAAUGGCUGCUUUACUGCGCUGUUUGUAUUUAUUUCUCGACCCAUAUGAGUCGACUCAGAGUGUGCCAACCGUGGUAUCCAAGCUUGCGUAUGCUUUAGUGUUCCCUUGUCUAACAGGGGCAUUCAGUUAUAUCCAUAUUAUGUUCCUGAAGAUCACCAAGAUGCAUUUCCAAUCAAACAGGUUACAGACUGAACAUUGUCUCCUUUGUUUCAUCAUUGGACACUUCAGCAUUGUUGUGGUUAUCUACACAAUAGUGUCCUUUGCCCCACAGCUUAAGCUUCUUAUCCUUAUCGCUCAGACUGUGUUCAUAUUCUGGGGCUUGUUUCUAUGUGCCAACUUCAUCUACAGUGGAUUCAGAACAUCACAAUACGCCACAGAAACCCAGCGGGCACUCAGAGAGUUGACACAAUACAGCAAGGAAAGAAAAUUAUCAAAAGAUAGCUCCUCGAAUAUGAAAGUCCUUCGAUUGACCAAACCCAAACUUGUGAUAGAUGAAAGUCAUUAUGAUUUCAUGACGGACACCUCAAGUGAAUCAAAUACAGUGUCUUAUUUCAAUGAGUCUGCCAUAGACAGACCAGGAGGGGGCAGAGUUCAGCAAAGUGGUACAGUGGAGAGUACAUUUACAAUCCCUUCACCAGCUCAGGAGAAUAUACUUGGUGUUGAGGUUGACACACGUCAUGAUCUCACUUUUGAUAGCAGGACUUGCAACUCUAGUGAAACUGACUCUGGGGCUAUCGCUCCGCAGCCUAUUUCCAACUCAACUAAACUAACACGUAAGGCAUCUAAUCCCACAACUCGCUCCCUCCGUAGAUCUAGUUGCUCUGAUGCCAUCAGGUUGGUGCGACUGUUCCAUCAACGUGGUUAUGAGAAGUCCAACUGCUCAAGCACUAGUAGUGUGUUCACCAUAGAUGAUAAUGCCAACUCCCAUGGAUUUAAGGCUGCAAAUGGCCAUAUAAAUAGCCUUAAAGCAGAGACUGACACAAUUGGGGAGGAGAGAGGUUAUAUGGCUGAUACUGACUCACCAAUAAGAAGACCCAAACGAUAUAAACAUAAGGGUAAACAUAAAAUAGAUCACCAGGAAGUGCAAACAAUCGGUGACAGUCCUGAACAUCGUCUGUACCAACUGAAAAUGGGUAGUGAGACAAUAAUGAGUUUGUACAGGAUACGCCAGGGUCGGGUGUUACACAGAGUUCUGAAGGUGGCUUACUUUACGGCACUCUGUGGCUUUCUGUGCUGUGUUCUACAGAUCUAUGCAAUGUUUGGGGAGUAUGGUGUCUUGUCUACUGUUGUCAGUCCCGAGCCGUGGCCUUGGUACGUCUUCCAGUCAUGUGCUAGGGUGGCAGAGCUUGGGAUGCUCUCAACUAUGGCAUAUAUCACCUUUACCACUGGCAAAUACAAGCGGAAGAGAAGAGGCAGGAAACGCAAUAUACAUUCAGAAGACAGAUAAACUUUUGCCAAGUUAUGGGCACUUAUUUCAAUGUUAAAUGUUGAGUCCUUUUUGGUCUAUUUUGAGACAAUUAAGGGGUUGACUCAAUAUCUUAUGAGUAAAAAUGUUUCGAUGUGAUUUAUUGAAAAACUAAUUGAACCCUGACUUACACUGGGAUGUGAACAUUUUGGCAAAGAUGAAGCAACUACAUACCAAUCUGAUUCAAGGUCAUUUGAAUCGACCUUUAUUGUAAUUCUUCAUGUGGAGAGUAUAUCACUGUGUAAUUUCUUAACUUAACUUAAUAAGGAUCGCCAAUCGUGAAAAAUGUAAUAGAUUUGAACUCUAAAUUACUGGUGGACUGUAUGAUUGACCUUAAUAUCACCUUCCUGGAUCGUAUGAUUAACCUUAAUAUCAUCUUUGUUCACUCGGCUCCCUUUGGUCGGAGAUGCCUUAUAAUAGUGUGUCUUAUUGCCAAUAGUACUUUCAAAUUCUUCACCCAUGAGAUUCUAUUUGCCGACCUUAUAGUACUACUGUAAUACGAUCCAAAGAAGUAAAUGAUGUCUAAUGAACUAUAGUCUUGUAAUUACAAUGUAUGGGUGACUUGAAGUAAAGGGAAUGAGCAACAGUGAUGUCCUGUUGCAUGAACCAUACAAUACUGGCAAUUAAGGGGAUCAAAUUACCCGUAACUAACUUUGAAUCUUUAAAGAGGAUUCGUUUCCAAAUGAUCUCAGUUUGUAAUAUGAUGAGGCAGACAUAAUGAAUAAAUUGGACAAUGCAAAAGAAACUGUAAAUUGAUACAUUUUGUUCUGUCGUACUGUUUUUUGAUUUAGUAUGAUGACAAAAACAUGUAGCUUUUAUAUGAUGUUUAUCCACAUUUCACAUGAAACCAAGAGACAAUUAAGGGAGAAAUUUUGACAAUUUAAAAAACUG